Molecule: unclassified non-coding RNA, 347 nt
Filed under: Hevea brasiliensis (rubber tree)
Lineage: Eukaryota; Viridiplantae; Streptophyta; Magnoliopsida; Malpighiales; Euphorbiaceae
Source: RNAcentral
UCCCGGGUAAUAAUUUGAAGAAGCCCAAUUCGGUUUUUAGCCCGAAUAACGAAAAGGGUCGUGUCUAAAGCGUCGUCGUUUUGGACACUGAUGGUUGAGCUAGAGGUACAAGUUGUUUCAGUGACAACUUGGUUAGAGCUAGAAGUAGUACUUGAGACUUUCACAUGGGUGAAGGCAUUGGAGAAGAGUGAAGUGGAAAAUGGACGGUUGAGAUUGAAGAUUGAGGGGAAUUGAAGGUUGGCUUGAGGUGAUCGGACGGCCAGGAGAGGAACUGCAAUGGCAGCCAUUGCUGAAAAGUUGAAGGAUUCUGAAACUCAAGUGUAGUGAAGUAAAUCAGUCAUCACGGG